RNAcentral lists this ribosomal RNA (410 nucleotides) under uncultured microorganism. RNAcentral's name for it is "bacterial SSU rRNA". It matches the Rfam family "Bacterial small subunit ribosomal RNA", at positions 509 to 917 of the family's 1533-position model. The record is from RNAcentral.
CAGCCGCCGCGGUAAUACGUAGGUGGCAAGCGUUAUCCGGAUUUAUUGGGCGUAAAGCGAGCGCAGGCGGUUUGAUAAGUCUGAUGUGAAAGCCUUCGGCUUAACCGGAGAAGUGCAUCGGAAACUGGAUAACUUGAGUGCAGAAGAGGGUAGUGGAACUCCAUGUGUAGCGGUGGAAUGCGUAGAUAUAUGGAAGAACACCAGUGGCGAAGGCGGCUACCUGGUCUGCAACUGACGCUGAGACUCGAAAGCAUGGGUAGCGAACAGGAUUAGAUACCCUGGUAGUCCAUGCCGUAAACGAUGAGUGCUAGGUGUUGGAGGGUUUCCGCCCUUCAGUGUCGGAGCUAACGCAUUAAGCACUCCGCCUGGGGAGUACGACCGCAAGGUUGAAACUUAAAGGAAUUGGCGGG